RNAcentral lists this ribosomal RNA (499 nucleotides) under uncultured Glomeromycotina. Its description in RNAcentral is "partial small subunit ribosomal RNA". It matches the Rfam family "Eukaryotic small subunit ribosomal RNA", at positions 591 to 1092 of the family's 1831-position model. The record is from RNAcentral. Lineage: Eukaryota; Fungi; Glomeromycota.
CCAAUAGCGUAUAUUAAAGUUGUUGCAGUUAAAAAGCUCGUAGUUGAAUUUUGGAUUCUACCAAUCGGUCCAUCUUUUAGAUGAGUACUGGUUGUGUGGGGUCUAUCUGCCUGGUAAUACGUAAUGUCCUUUAUUGGGUGUUGCGGGUAGUCAGGACCUUUACCUUGAAAAAAUUAGAGUGUUUAAAGCAGGCUUAUGCCGGAAUACAUUAGCAUGGAAUAAUAGAAUAGGACGAAGUUGUUUUAUUUUGUUGGUUUCUAGGACAACCGUAAUGAUUAAUAGGGAUAGUUGGGGGCAUUAGUAUUCAAUUGUCAGAGGUGAAAUUCUUGGAUUUAUUGAAGACUAACUACUGCGAAAGCAUUUGCCAAGGAUGUUUUCAUUAAUCAAGAACGAAAGUUAGGGGAUCGAAGACGAUCAGAUACCGUCGUAGUCUUAACCAUAAACUAUGCCGACUAGGGAUCGGGCGAUGUUGUUUCCAUGACUCGCUCGGCACCUUAUG